GUAGGCACCAAGCGUUGUCCGGAUUUAUUGGGCGUAAAGAGCUCGUAGGCGGUUCGGUAAGUCGGGUGUGAAAACUCUGGGCUCAACCCAGAGAGGCCACCCGAUACUGCCGUGACUGGAGUGCGGUAGGGGAGUGGGGAAUUCCUGGUGUAGCGGUGAAAUGCGCAGAUAUCAGGAGGAACACCAGUGGCGAAGGCGCCACUCUGGGCCGUAACUGACGCUGAGGAGCGAAAGCGUGGGUAGCAAACAGGAUUAGAUACCCUGGUAGUCCACGCCGUAAACGUUGGGCACUAGGUGUGGGUCUCAACCAACGAGAUCCGCGCCGUCGCUAACGCAUUAAGUGCCCCGCCUGGGGAGUACGGCCGCAAGGCUA
RNAcentral lists this ribosomal RNA (373 nucleotides) under uncultured bacterium. RNAcentral's name for it is "bacterial SSU rRNA". It matches the Rfam family "Bacterial small subunit ribosomal RNA", at positions 527 to 896 of the family's 1533-position model. The record is from RNAcentral.